AUGAUCCUAGAGGCCUCAGCUCAGGGGCUGCUGCAGCACCCAGUUGUUCCCAACUCGCCAUGUCAUGUUCUUCAAUACGCGGAUGACACUCUAAUUAUCAUAAAGGCAGACGAAGAUAACCUUGCCUCCCUAAAAUCUAUCCUGCUCAAUUUCUCCCUCACCACGGGUCUCCACAUCAAUUUUGCUAAAAGCACUUUUGCUCCAAUCCAUGUUGACCCUUCUGUGGCCGCUCGCAUGGCAAGUAUGUUGGGUUGCUCGGUCGCUACUUUCCCGCAGAACUAUCUUGGUCUCCCUUUGUCUACCCACAAACUUCGUCUAAUAGAUUUCCACCCGUUAAUUGCUAAGGUUGACAAAAGGUUAGCUGGUUGGCGAGGACACCUUCUCUCUGCGGCCGGUAGGGCAGUUCUU
RNAcentral lists this ribosomal RNA (408 nucleotides) under Triticum aestivum (bread wheat). RNAcentral describes it as "partial small subunit ribosomal RNA". The record is from RNAcentral. Lineage: Eukaryota; Viridiplantae; Streptophyta; Magnoliopsida; Poales; Poaceae.